AGUGAACGCUGGCGGUAGGCCUAACACAUGCAAGUCGAACGGCAGCACAGUAAGAGCUUGCUCUUACGGGUGGCGAGUGGCGGACGGGUGAGGAAUACGUCGGAAUCUACUUUUUCGUGGGGGAUAACGUAGGGAAACUUACGCUAAUACCGCAUACGACCUACGGGUGAAAGCAGGGGAUCUUCGGACCUUGCGCGAUUGAAUGAGCCGAUGUCGGAUUAGCUAGUUGGCGGGGUAAAGGCCCACCAAGGCGACGAUCCGUAGCUGGUCUGAGAGGAUGAUCAGCCACACUGGAACUGAGACACGGUCCAGACUCCUACGGGAGGCAGCAGUGGGGAAUAUUGGACAAUGGGCGCAAGCCUGAUCCAGCCAUACCGCGUGGGUGAAGAAGGCCUUCGGGUUGUAAAGCCCUUUUGUUGGGAAAGAAAAGCAGCAGGUUAAUACCCCGCUGUUCUGACGGUACCCAGAGAAUAAGCACCGGCUAACUUCGUG
Molecule: ribosomal RNA, 492 nt
Filed under: uncultured bacterium
Lineage: Bacteria
Description: partial 16S ribosomal RNA
Rfam family: Bacterial small subunit ribosomal RNA
Source: RNAcentral